Molecule: ribosomal RNA, 583 nt
Filed under: Roseateles sp.
Lineage: Bacteria; Pseudomonadati; Pseudomonadota; Betaproteobacteria; Burkholderiales; Sphaerotilaceae
Also listed under: 1 other name
Description: bacterial SSU rRNA
Rfam family: Bacterial small subunit ribosomal RNA
Source: RNAcentral
UACGGGAGGCAGCAGGGGGGAAUUUUGGACAAUGGACGCAAGUCUGAUCCAGCCUUGCCGCGUGCGGGAAGAAGGCCUUCGGGUUGUAAACCGCUUUUGUCAGGGAAGAAACGCUCUGGGUUAAUACCUCGGGGUAAUGACGGUACCUGAAGAAUAAGCACCGGCUAACUACGUGCCAGCAGCCGCGGUAAUACGUAGGGUGCAAGCGUUAAUCGGAAUUACUGGGCGUAAAGCGUGCGCAGGCGGUUAUGCAAGACAGAUGUGAAAUCCCCGGGCUCAACCUGGGAACUGCAUUUGUGACUGCAUGGCUAGAGUACGGUAGAGGGGGAUGGAAUUCCGCGUGUAGCAGUGAAAUGCGUAGAUAUGCGGAGGAACACCGAUGGCGAAGGCAAUCCCCUGGACCUGUACUGACGCUCAUGCACGAAAGCGAGGGGAGCAAACAGGAUUAGAUACCCUGGUAGUCCACGCCCUAAACGAUGUCAACUGGUUGUUGGGAGGGUUUCUUCUCAGUAACGUAGCUAACGCGUGAAGUUGACCGCCUGAGGAGUACGGCCGCAAGGUUGAAACUCAAAGGAAUUGACGG